Molecule: ribosomal RNA, 253 nt
Filed under: uncultured bacterium
Lineage: Bacteria
Description: partial 16S ribosomal RNA
Rfam family: Bacterial small subunit ribosomal RNA
Source: RNAcentral
GACAGAGGGUGCAAACGUUGUUCGGAAUUACUGGGCGUAAAGCGUGUGUAGGCGGCCUUAUAAGUCGGAUGUGAAAGCCCAGGGCUCAACCCUGGAAGUGCACUCGAUACUGUAAGGCUCGAGUACUGGAGAGGUUGGUGGAAUUCUCGGCGUAGAGGUGAAAUUCGUAGAUAUCGAGAGGAACACCGGUGGCGAAGGCGGCCAACUGGACAGAUACUGACGCUGAGACACGAAAGCGUGGGGAGCAAACAGG